Molecule: long non-coding RNA, 379 nt
Filed under: Homo sapiens (human)
Lineage: Eukaryota; Metazoa; Chordata; Mammalia; Primates; Hominidae
Description: HSALNT0344757
Source: RNAcentral
UCACAGCAUCCCUGAGACACAGCUAGGGGAGCCAUUGCUCUGCCCACUGAAUGGAAGGGGAAACUGAAGUGCAGCCUCCUGAACUGAUUCUCCAAAGAUUACAUAACUGAUCAGUGGGAGAAUGGAACCACCCCUCCUCAGUAUAAGAAGCAUGCUGUGAUAUUGAGUCAAUUGGUUGCCCAAUCACAGACAUCUUUCACUGACAGAGUAACAGCAAUGCUCAUUUUCAAAUCAUAUGAGAAGGCCUUGCUAACUGAUGGUCGAUGCUCACAGGUGUGUGGGCUUUGAGCAGUCGCUACACCUUCCCUCUUCAGGCAUGAUGAGAGGAUUCCUGCAGCGUUUUGCAAGAGGGGUUGUGAGGAUGCUUCUGGAUUCCAAG